GAAAAGAUGCCGUGAUCAAUUUACACAGGUUUUGCUGGAACAUGCUGUCUUAAUGGUUACUGCAUGGCAGAAAGGAAACAGGAUUCGCUAAAAGCUAGCUGGCUGGUGGUGCUGGAAAGGAGGAACAGAGGAGAUUAGAUUGCUGAGAGCAGUGGAGGCUGCCAGUCCUAGAGCAUCUAAGAUCAGAGAACAGACAGUCCACGGAGCACAGAGACCCAGAGAGUCAGAAAGGCAGGCAGCCACAAGACAAAACGGAAGGGCCAGGAUCCCCAUUGGGACAAAAUUCUAAUCAACAAAACAUAAAAGACUACUAGACAGAAUACAACACCACCUCAAGUUCCUUUGCAAGAGGAUGUUUCAGAGCCAAUCCAAGGCAAGUGGAGGAGAAUUCACCAACACUACUAGUUGAGGAGCUGUGGCAGUUUACCUACCUGCAGUCUGAAGAGGAGCCAGUGAGUUGAAUUGGAAGAUGCCUUUCCUUUGACAGAAAAAGCAGACUUCUAGAGAAUGGAAUCCUUCAGUGGAGAAAGGCUCCUAUCAGAGAAAGCUCUUUCCUUUGAAGCAAGGGACUUUUAGGCUCAAGGAUCAUUUCCCUCUCCUAGCUAUUAUAGUUCAAGUUGUUCAUUGUAAAUGAGUAUAGCUUGUAAUUGUAAGUUUAAUAAUUUUGUAACUUUGUGUGUAAGUUUUGUGUUUGAAGCAUAGGAAUGGUGGAGAUAUUUUUACUAAUGGUAUUGUCCUUUUAUAUGCCCUUUGUAUUUUGAAAUAUGUAUAUAUACAUGUAUAUUUUAUUGUUUACAGAACAAUAAAGAGAAAAAUUGAGAAAGAUUGUCAUCAAACUA
Molecule: long non-coding RNA, 839 nt
Organism: Hemicordylus capensis (graceful crag lizard)
Lineage: Eukaryota; Metazoa; Chordata; Lepidosauria; Squamata; Cordylidae
Exons: 5
Source: RefSeq, a predicted model, not a curated record